GUAUGAACGCUAGCUACAGGCUUAACACAUGCAAGUCGAGGGGCUGCAUGGUCUUAGCUUGCUAAGGCCGAUGGCGACCGGCGCACGGGUGAGUAACACGUAUCCAACCUGCCGUCUACUCUUGGACAGCCUUCUGAAAGGAAGAUUAAUACAAGAUGGCAUCAUGAGUCCGCAUGUUCACAUGAUUAAAGGUAUUCCGGUAGACGAUGGGGAUGCGUUCCAUUAGAUAGUAGGCGGGGUAACGGCCCACCUAGUCUUCGAUGGAUAGGGGUUCUGAGAGGAAGGUCCCCCACAUUGGAACUGAGACACGGUCCAAACUCCUACGGGAGGCAGCAGUGAGGAAUAUUGGUCAAUGGGCGAGAGCCUGAACCAGCCAAGUAGCGUGAAGGAUGACUGCCCUAUGGGUUGUAAACUUCUUUUAUAAAGGAAUAAAGUCGGGUAUGCAUACCCGUUUGCAUGUACUUUAUGAAUAAGGAUCGGCUAACUCCGUGCCAGCAGCCGCGGUAAUACGGAGGAUCCGAGCGUUAUCCGGAUUUAUUGGGUUUAAAGGGAGCGUAGAUGGAUGUUUAAGUCAGUUGUGAAAGUUUGCGGCUCAACCGUAAAAUUGCAGUUGAUACUGGAUAUCUUGAGUGCAGUUGAGGCAGGCGGAAUUCGUGGUGUAGCGGUGAAAUGCUUAGAUAUCACGAAGAACUCCGAUUGCGAAGGCAGCCUGCUAAGCUGCAACUGACAUUGAGGCUCGAAAGUGUGGGUAUCAAACAGGAUUAGAUACCCUGGUAGUCCACACGGUAAACGAUGAAUACUCGCUGUUUGCGAUAUACGGCAAGCGGCCAAGCGAAAGCGUUAAGUAUUCCACCUGGGGAGUACGCCGGCAACGGUGAAACUCAAAGGAAUUGACGGGGGCCCGCACAAGCGGAGGAACAUGUGGUUUAAUUCGAUGAUACGCGAGGAACCUUACCCGGGCUUAAAUUGCAGAUGAAUUACGGUGAAAGCCGUAAGCCGCGAGGCAUCUGUGAAGGUGCUGCAUGGUUGUCGUCAGCUCGUGCCGUGAGGUGUCGGCUUAAGUGCCAUAACGAGCGCAACCCUUGUUGUCAGUUACUAACAGGUUCCGCUGAGGACUCUGACAAGACUGCCAUCGUAAGAUGUGAGGAAGGUGGGGAUGACGUCAAAUCAGCACGGCCCUUACGUCCGGGGCUACACACGUGUUACAAUGGGGGGUACAGAGGGCCGCUACCACGCGAGUGGAUGCCAAUCCCAAAAACCUCUCUCAGUUCGGACUGGAGUCUGCAACCCGACUCCACGAAGCUGGAUUCGCUAGUAAUCGCGCAUCAGCCACGGCGCGGUGAAUACGUUCCCGGGCCUUGUACACACCGCCCGUCAAGCCAUGGGAGCCGGGGGUACCUGAAGUGCGUAACCGCGAGGAGCGCCCUAGGG
This 1431-nucleotide ribosomal RNA is filed under the name uncultured organism. RNAcentral's name for it is "SSU rRNA". It matches the Rfam family "Bacterial small subunit ribosomal RNA". The record is from RNAcentral.